GCCUGGGUGGCUCAGUCGGUUGAGCGUCCGACUUCAGCUCAGGUCAUGAUCUCACAGCUCGUGGGUUCGAGCCCCGCGUUGGGCU
RNAcentral lists this transfer RNA (85 nucleotides) under Felis catus (domestic cat). It matches the Rfam family "tRNA". Rfam says of the family: Transfer RNA (tRNA) molecules are approximately 80 nucleotides in length. Their secondary structure includes four short double-helical elements and three loops (D, anti-codon, and T loops). Further hydrogen bonds mediate the characteristic L-shaped molecular structure. tRNAs have two regions of fundamental functional importance: the anti-codon, which is responsible for specific mRNA codon recognition, and the 3' end, to which the tRNAs corresponding amino acid is attached (by aminoacyl-tRNA synthetases). tRNAs cope with the degeneracy of the genetic code in two manners: having more than one tRNA (with a specific anti-codon) for a particular amino acid; and 'wobble' base-pairing, i.e. permitting non-standard base-pairing at the 3rd anti-codon position. Lineage: Eukaryota; Metazoa; Chordata; Mammalia; Carnivora; Felidae. RNAcentral also lists the same sequence under 2 other names. The record is from Rfam by way of RNAcentral.